Long non-coding RNA from Sceloporus undulatus (fence lizard), 358 nucleotides. RefSeq lists it as uncharacterized. The transcript is spliced from 3 exons. The record is from RefSeq and is a predicted model, not a curated record. NCBI's taxonomy places the organism in Eukaryota, Metazoa, Chordata, Lepidosauria, Squamata, Phrynosomatidae.
GCAACAUCUAGGACACAUCUACACUGUAGAAAUAAGGAAAGUUUCAUCUUCCAUUUCCUUCGGAGGCCUUGGCAAAGCUGCAUUAAUUCCAUAUCCCUUCAGUCUGCCUGAGGAAAAAGCAGACACAACACUGCUCUCAAGUAUCACAGUGCAACUAGGGACCUAUAUCCUCCAGCAGAGGCAGCCUUCUGCAGUCACAAUCACACGGUGAAUCUGUGUCAGAUACCAAACUCAUCACCAAAAUCAUCCUCUUCGGAAAAAAAUUGGCACUUCAGUCCAGGGCCGCAUUUGACACCAUCCAUACCUGCAACGGUCCGGUAACAAGUCUCCCCCAAAGCUGCAGCACAGACCCUGCAGC